Molecule: unclassified non-coding RNA, 1330 nt
Filed under: uncultured Neocallimastigales
Lineage: Eukaryota; Fungi; Neocallimastigomycota; Neocallimastigomycetes; Neocallimastigales
Description: partial contains small subunit ribosomal RNA, internal transcribed spacer 1, 5.8S ribosomal RNA, internal transcribed spacer 2, and large subunit ribosomal RNA
Rfam family: Eukaryotic large subunit ribosomal RNA (bases 578-1330)
Source: RNAcentral
UUUCCGUAGGUGAACCUGCGGAAGGAUCAUUAAAAAAUAACACAGUUGUGAUUUUAAGUAAUCAUCCUACCCUUUGUGAAUUUGUUUGUAUUAAUUUGUGUCUUUCCCUGUGUUUUUGAUGAGUUGAAAAAGCAUUCAAAUGCAGGGAAUGGCAAACCUUUUUUUAAAUUAAACUUUUGUAUUCAUUGUCUAAAAUUUAUUUUUAAUAAUUUAAAAACAACUUUGACAAUGGAUCUCUUGGUUCUCGCAACGAUGAAGAACGCAGCAAAAUGCGAUAAGUAAUGUGAAUUGCAGAAUACGUGAUCAUCAAAUCUUCGAACGCAUAUUGCACUUUUCUAGUUUACUAGAAAAGUAUGUCUGUUUGAGUAUCAGUAAAAUAUUCUCAUAAAAACAUUGUUUUUAUGGUUAUGAGUGUUUUACAACGAUAAACAAGUUGUUUCACUUUAAAUUGAUUUUAAAGCCAAUUUGGUUUUAUCUAAUAAAAUUGGUAAAAUUUUCCCGUAAAAAGGAAUAAACUUUUCAGUUUUAAAGGUAAACUUUAGUUGAGCCUAAUAGAAGGAAAUUUAACAAAAUAACUUGAUCUCAAAUCAGAUAAGAGUACCCGCUGAACUUAAGCAUAUCAAUAAGCGGAGGAAAAGAAACUAACAAGGAUUCCUUAGUAACGGCGAGUGAAGCGGAAGAGCUCAAAUUUGAAAUCUUCAAGGUUCUACCUUGACGAAUUGUAGUUUAUAGAAGUGUUUUCUGUUAGUGGAGUGGCAAAAGUUCUUUGGAAUAGGACAUCAUAGAGGGUGAGAAUCCCGUAUUUGGUCAUUCCUCCUAGCGUUGUGAUACACUUUCAACGAGUCGGAUUGUUUGGGAAUGCAGUCCAAAAUGGGUGGUAAAUUUCAUCUAAGCUAAAUAUUGCGAGAGACCGAUAGCGAACAAGUACCGUGAGGGAAAGAUGAAAAGAACUUUGAAAAGAGAGUUAAACAGUACGUGAAAUUGUCAAAAGGGAAGCGUUUGACACCAGUGUUGUUUUUCCGAAAUCAAUUACGAAUGUUUUGUUUUUAAGGAGUUAUGACUUCAUCGGCUUGCUCCUUUCUUUAUGAAACUUUCUUAAUGCACUUUUCGGUUAACAAGUCAACACCAAUUUCUUUUGUUGUAAAAGAGUCAUUGGAAGGUGGCUUUCACUUCGGUGAAAGUGUUUAUAGCCUUUGACUUCUGCAAUCGGAGAGAUUGAGGUCUGCAGCGUAGAUCCUUCGGGGUUAGAUACAUUUGUGCUAAGUUAUAGUUUUUCAUAGACAACAUGUUGACUAUGAUUAAUCAUGUAGCUUACUCGCUUAUGCUAUUU